UACGUAGGGACCAAGCGUUGUUCGGAUUUACUGGGCGUAAAGAGCUCGUAGGCGGUUUGUCGCGUCUGCUGUGAAAACCCGAGGCUCAACCUCGGGCCUGCAGUGGGUACGGGCAGACUAGAGUGCGGUAGGGGAGAUUGGAAUUCCUGGUGUAGCGGUGGAAUGCGCAGAUAUCAGGAGGAACACCAAUGGCGAAGGCAGAUCUCUGGGCCGUAACUGACGCUGAGGAGCGAAAGCGUGGGGAGCGAACAGG
This 253-nucleotide ribosomal RNA is filed under the name uncultured bacterium. RNAcentral describes it as "partial 16S ribosomal RNA". It matches the Rfam family "Bacterial small subunit ribosomal RNA", at positions 524 to 776 of the family's 1533-position model. The record is from RNAcentral.